RNAcentral lists this ribosomal RNA (540 nucleotides) under Triticum aestivum (bread wheat). RNAcentral's name for it is "partial small subunit ribosomal RNA". Lineage: Eukaryota; Viridiplantae; Streptophyta; Magnoliopsida; Poales; Poaceae. The record is from RNAcentral.
AUGGACGGCAAGACGCCUCAUCUGCUGCCUCUGAGUCUGAGCGAGGCCAAAAAGAAGAUCCGGGAUGACGUCCCACUGGUCUGCGGAUGGGCGCUCCUCAACGCCUUCGCCACGCUCUGCGGCGUAGCAAGCGGCUACAUAGCCGAGUACAUCCAUGUGUCGUGCAGCCAGUCCUCCUUCAUUCUGCCGUGCAUCGAGCUGACGGACGCGGAGGCCGCCAGGCUAAUCGCCCUCUGCGUCGGGAUGCUGUGCUGCGCCCCAUCCCAGGCGGCCGCGGCGGCGCUGGCGCUGCUGCUCCCAUGCCAGCGUCGCCGGGCCCGCCGGACCCUCGCCUACCUCGCGCUGGCGGUCACCAUCCUCUUCCAUUGCUUGUUCGCCAGCACCGUGUGGGUCUUCCUCGCCGCCGACCCAGGAUACAUCUUCGGCAGGAUCUACUUCACCGCGGGCUUCUGCUUCUUCGUGGUGGCCGACCUCCUCAGCUUCCGGGCCCUCCUGGGAGGUGAUGGGUGGGGCAUCAAGUACGUAGCCUAUUUCUUCUGA